UACGUAGGGUGCAAGCGUUAAUCGGAAUUACUGGGCGUAAAGCGUGCGCAGGCGGUUGUGCAAGACAGAUGUGAAAUCCCCGGGCUCAACCUGGGAAUUGCAUUUGUGACUGCACGGCUAGAGUGUGUCAGAGGGGGGUAGAAUUCCACGUGUAGCAGUGAAAUGCGUAGAGAUGUGGAGGAAUACCGAUGGCGAAGGCAGCCCCCUGGGAUAACACUUACGCUCAUGCACGAAAGCGUGGGGAGCAAACAGG
Molecule: ribosomal RNA, 253 nt
Filed under: uncultured bacterium
Lineage: Bacteria
Description: partial 16S ribosomal RNA
Rfam family: Bacterial small subunit ribosomal RNA
Source: RNAcentral